GUCCUAACUCAUCCUAGAAAUUAGCUCUACGGGUGGAGUAUCUAAGUCUCUUACAAAAGGCACGUUACUCAAAUCAACGUAGGAUUCAAUAAAUGGAGAACACUUAGGAAGAAUAGAUGGGAACAAACUUCCUAAGAUGGGAACAAAGAGAAAAAAGCUCUGAUACCAUGUUAAAAAUUUUAGAUUAGUCCUAACUCAUCCCAAAAAUUAGCUCUAGGGGAGGAGUGCCUAAGCCUCUUUUAUAAAAGGCACAUUAUUUUUAUCCCAAACUGAUUAUUCUUAUCCCAAACAAACCGAUUACACUUAUCCCAAACUGAACUGACGUAGGAUUCAACAAGUGGAGAACACUUAGGAAGAAUAGAUGGGAACAAACUUCCUAAGAUGGGAACAAAGAGAAAAUUAGAUCUAUAGAAAAAGAUUUAUUAAAGAAUAUAAAUAAUGUCUAACUGGUCAAAUUUUUAUAUUUUAAAAUGUGGCCAGUGCCAGGUAGGCAUGCCAACAUUAACAACUCACCUAAGCUCUUACUGGAAUCUGGUAAGAGUGGCUUUUUGUUUUUACUAAAUUAAAGUUGGAGAAAUUUUAUGUUACAAAUUGAAGUUAAGAGAUAACACUAUUAUCAGAGUAUAUGUUCAGGAAUGAAGGGUGAAAUAUACCUUCUAUUUCCUCCUUUGAUAAGAUACAUAUAGUUUGCUUCCCAUACACUAUUGCUACAAUAACUUCAAUUUGACAAGUUUUAUGGAAAUGUACUAUUGCUACUUUAUCAACAUUAGAGUCUGAGGUUUGGAUCUGAUGAUAAGGUAGACUCUGCUCAACACCAUUGUACCUUAUCCUGGUUUAAUAUAAUCUUGAUACUUGACAAGGCUUAAUGGUUGGUAUGUGUACUGUGGUGUUAAGCGGAGUCAAUCUCCAUGUCAUACACCCAUUUCAACUCAUUUGAUUGCUUCUCCAGAUUUUGGUUCUAAAAUUACAUUCAACAUUAUUUAAUUGAAGUGGGUUGUUGACAUAAGGUGGUAGACUGGACCAGGUAGUGGCCUUAGCUUAAACAAUCUUGACCAGCUUGUUUAACUUGGAAUGUAGAUAAUGUAAAUAUAAAAAGACAGGACUAUUGAAUGAGCUUCCUUCAAGCUCAACCCCUUAACCCAAGAAAAACAGAGGUAGUGAAGUCAUCAAUAUAAAAGUGUGAGCAUUCAAUUAGUUUGAUUUUGAACUGAACCAAACUGACUAAGCUGAAAAAUCGAACUCUAAAAUUGUAAAUCAAUCAAACCAAAUCGAACAGAAAUGCUAAGAAAUCUGAACUUGAUUAAACCAAAUUGGUUUAGGCUCAUAAACUAAUUGAUUGAAACAAAUAUGAUUAAAAUCAAAACAUAUGAGCCCAUAAACUAAUAGAGAAUAAUGAAGCCAAACAUGCUUCAAAAAGACAAUGCAGAAAUUAAAGGCAACAGAGCAAAAUUGAAAGUUAGAAACAGAUAAAUUUAGGGACGAGAAAUGGAUGGUGUGAUUGGAUGAAAUCAUAUUAUGAAAUUUUAGGGCUGCAAGUUGAAGCAGAUUCUGGGAAAGUUGACAAAAUAAUAUAAUAUUAACAUAAAAGGAACAAAUGAAGGAAUAGCAUUUCUUAUGGAGAUUGGAAUGAACAGUGGCCCAAAUACAGCAUAAUAAAUGGAUAAAGAAGAAGAGAACUGUACUCAGUAUUUGGUUUUUCAAAGAGGAGAAAAUAUUAAGAGCAAAACCAAAAAUUAAAACUCAGUUGAACUGAAAAGGUAAAUUCACCUUUCAAAUCCAACAAGCUAACGCCCUGGGCCUGGAGCCACUGAAAUAGAUGAUAAAAUCAGUGUUCUCUGAUUUACAUGAUAAUUGAAAAAUAAAGAAAAUAAAGUGAGGUUUUGGUGGAAGCAACAAUAUCACUGGUGGUGGUAUUUUUAAUUCAGGAGAGUUGCACGCAACAUUGAUUAAGUAGCUCGAGGACAAAGUGAAUAUGGUAAGGAUGCUAGACAAAAUGAGAAGGGAAAAAUGGAAAAAAAGAAUGAGGGUAGCAUGUAGAAUGAAGCUGAAAAUGAAGGGAUCCUCAUAAAUCAACUCCAACUUACUGAACAACUGUAUUUUUGAAGAAAUUCGGUUCAGUUCAAGUGGAAAGUUCUAUUCCUCUUCAAAACUGAACUAAACAAUCCAAAAAGUAUGAAAAUAAACCAGCCUGAAUUGAAUUUCCAAAUUAAUUUGGUUCUAUCAUUUUUUCAGUUUGAACUGAAUAUUGCUCAUCCUUUGCUCUAUUGGCAAACAUUACCAAAGAUACUUCUUAGCUAAUCAAGUCUCUAGAAGUAUAGAAGAGUACUAAUAAUCUUAGUUGCACUUCUGAGGAACUGGAAAAUGGUUAAGUAAAAUCUAGUAAAAAAAGGCUCUAAUUUUUUAAGUAUCAACAAUUAAUGUGCAUCUAUUUGCUCUGUUGGCAACCCCUCACUCUUAUUCCUUCGCAAAUUUUUAGAAUCUUUUACUAUUAUGAUUUUGCUACCAGCAGCCUAAAUUUCAUUAUUGGUGAUGACCAAGCUUUUGAAACCUUUGGCCACAUCAAUAGUUUUACGAACUUGGCACAUUUGUUAUUUUGUUGUGAUCACAGAAUGCCAGCUAAGUUGAAGGGAAAGGAUUUCAGGUCACAAUUUAUGAUAUAUGAUACUGAGUGUUGGGCGGUGAAUAAAGAACACAUGUACAAGCUCAGUGUGGCAAACAUGAGAAUGUUAAGAUAGACUUGCAUAACUGCAUUGAACCAUUAAUAAUGUAUUCAUUUGCAGAAUGGCAGAAGCCCUAAUGGGAAAGAAAUGAAAGGCCAUGCUAAGAUGUCUUGGACACAUGCAUUGUAGACCACCAAGUUCACUUG
Molecule: long non-coding RNA, 2866 nt
Filed under: Manihot esculenta (cassava)
Lineage: Eukaryota; Viridiplantae; Streptophyta; Magnoliopsida; Malpighiales; Euphorbiaceae
Description: long non-coding RNA (MESC_LNC008320)
Source: RNAcentral